ACUGGUUCUGGCCUUUUGGCUAAGAUCAAGUGUAGUAUCUCUUAUUAGAUUAAUUGGGGAGAACUCUUAAAGAAAAUUUUGAAGAGAAUUUUUGGAGAGAAACUUUU
This 107-nucleotide small nuclear RNA is filed under the name Mesocricetus auratus (golden hamster). Its description in RNAcentral is "U2 spliceosomal RNA". It matches the Rfam family "U2 spliceosomal RNA". From Rfam's summary of the family: U2 is a small nuclear RNA (snRNA) component of the spliceosome (involved in pre-mRNA splicing). Complementary binding between U2 snRNA (in an area lying towards the 5' end but 3' to hairpin I) and the branchpoint sequence (BPS) of the intron results the bulging out of an unpaired adenosine, on the BPS, which initiates a nucleophilic attack at the intronic 5' splice site, thus starting the first of two transesterification reactions that mediate splicing. Lineage: Eukaryota; Metazoa; Chordata; Mammalia; Rodentia; Cricetidae. The record is from Rfam by way of RNAcentral.